Molecule: RNA transcript, 1418 nt
Organism: Patiria miniata (bat star)
Lineage: Eukaryota; Metazoa; Echinodermata; Asteroidea; Valvatida; Asterinidae
Gene name: bolA-like protein 1
Exons: 5
Source: RefSeq, a predicted model, not a curated record
UAAUACGGGAGACGGGGUGUGGAGAAAUAGUAUUAGCAGUUUAGCACGCACGAGGUAGCUGUGGAUGCGUGCUGGAACUUGUCUGUAAUUCCCCAGUUUUGGAGGGCCUUUUGGCCUUGAAAAAUAUCAACCUAUGUUGCAAGUUACAAAGACCAUCAGUCAAGCAUCGUUGUGGAGACAAGUGAGACUAAUCAAAGGCGUGGUCAUCCGUCACGUUACCAUGGCAACAGAUCGGCCAGUCGAGACCAGCAUCAGACAAAAGCUGACAAAGACAUUUGAGCCUGUGCAUCUUGACGUCAUCAAUGAGAGUUCCAUGCACAAUGUUCCCCGAGGCUCCGAGACGCACUUCAAGGUGGUGGUCAUCUCGGAGAGGUUUGACAAGGAGAGUUUGAUCAAGAGGCAUCGUCUUGUCAACGACACUUUGAAGGAGGAGUUGGAAGGACCUGUCCAUGCUCUAUCAAUUCAGGCCAAGACCCCUGCCCAGUGGAGUCAGAAUGCCAGCGUCAGCAAGUCACCACCUUGUCUGGGUGGAAUGGCCCAUGAACAAGCGCAAAAGAACCAAGGAAGGUGACAUCCACAAACAGAGUGGCCACGGAACAAGCACAAAGCAGGCCAGUUAAGGGAUCGAGGUGAUAAAAGACGUUGUCACUCCAACUUUCAAGACUUGCUGUCGUCAACGCCGCUUUGCAAGUAAGAGUGAUAUCUUCGAGAGUCAACUGUCUUCAAGAGAUCAUGCUGUUGGAUAUCACUGCAAUUAUAAAUUUGUUACUCGAGAAGUUUUAUGUAGGUUGAACUUGUUUUUCUUAAGCCUACUCCUUAGGCGUGUAUACAUCAUAGAGCUAUAUUAAAUUACUAGAGCACUGGCUCGAUGUACAAAGUGAUGCCUGCUGGGCGCGUCCAUGUUUGUGCACAAAUCAAUGGGAAACUCAAAAUUUUGUACGGCUAUUUGCAUAUCUGCAUUUGUGUUCUAAACAGGUGCAUUACCAAAGCUGAUUCACCCAAACUUGAAACACACGAUCAGCAAAUGAGCACAUUUCAUUUUGCUCUGCGCAAACAGCGCAAAUGCUGCUGCAAGUGAUUUUUACCGUUAUGCUUUUGAACCGUCAUGACGCUCUUAAGUUGUUUGCGUAAUGUUCUACUCGCACGUUGCAUUGUGAGUACACUUUCAAAUUUCACUCAAUUUUAUUUCGUCAUGUUCUACAAAUACACACAUGAACUCAAAAUGUCUGUGUGCAGGACGGCUUCAGAGUAACUCCUGGCGUAAGAAUGAGGAGUAAGCGCUCUAGUAAUUCAAUAUAGCUCUAUGAUAUACAUACACAUGUAAAAACAUCUCACUGCCAAAUGUUUAGUGAACUGUUUUUGUGUUGCUCAAAAUGUCAUUUUGAAAACCUUAAAAAAUAUCAGCUCUUUAAUACAGU